Molecule: ribosomal RNA, 1074 nt
Filed under: Triticum aestivum (bread wheat)
Lineage: Eukaryota; Viridiplantae; Streptophyta; Magnoliopsida; Poales; Poaceae
Description: partial small subunit ribosomal RNA
Source: RNAcentral
AUGGCAGCCUUAGCACCUGUACAAGGCGGAGCAUUGGGAGGGGCCCGAGCGUACAUGCAUAGGGAUACCGUAGAUAGGAAGUCUUCGCGAUCCAUUAUUCCCCAUCUCGUAGUACUAGUAGAAUUGAGAUUUAAUGCACUUUCUUCCCCGUCUUUCACUCUUCUUCCUCCUCUCUUCCCCAUCGUCGACCGCACACCAUCCCCCCCCCUCGCUCACUGCUCGCCCGCCCGCGCCAUCUUCCUUGGUAGCUCACGCGUACCAUAUCCCCCCGCUCACUGCUCGGCCACACAUGCCAUCUUCUUCGCUCGCCCGCCCGAAUCCACUUCCCCGCUGGCUCACAGGCACCGAAAACCCCAGUCACUCAGCGCCCUAAAAACCCUAUGGCAGAACAAACUGACACGCAGAGCCGCGAUUGGAAUUCCCUCCCCGAUGUUCUCUUGGAGCAGAUCUGAUUUUUAUAACAACGCAUCAGACGCAAAUCCGUUGGCCUUCAUGAUUCCAGAACCAGGAAUCAUACCAGCCGAUGGAAUUAACCGAUGCAAGUCCAAGAAGGAUUGGCCGGUGCUGGCGGCUGGCGUCAAGUUCGAUCCCACGGAUCAGGAGCUGAUCGAGCACCUUGAGGCCAAAGUGACUGCUGACACUGCGAGAUCUCACCCUCUCAUCGAUUUGUUCAUACCAACCAUCGACAGCGAGCACGACAUAUGCUACACCCAUCCUGAGAAACUUCCAGGUAUCACAGUGAGUGGCCUAAGCAAGCAUUUCUUCCAGCGCAAUUCCAGGGCGUUCAAAAGGGGUACGUGGACGCGUCGCAAGAUACAGUCGGAGUGCGGCAUGCACGCGAUUUGGCACAAGACCGGCAAUACCUUGCCGGUGGUGGUCAACGGCCGUCAGACGGGCAGCAAAAAGGUUCUGGUGCUGCACACCAACAAGAACUUCGACCAGCAGAGGACCAACUGGGUGAUGCACCAGUAUGAACUCGGGGACUUGGAGCAAGAGAAGGAGCGGGAGCUGGUCCUCUGCAAGAUUUUCUACCAGACGAACACUAGGGCCAGGAGUAAAAAGAUUAUAAGUUAG